UACGAAGGGGGCUAGCGUUGCUCGGAAUUACUGGGCGUAAAGGGUGCGUAGGCGGGUCUUUAAGUCAGGGGUGAAAUCCUGGAGCUCAACUCCAGAACUGCCCUUGAUACUGAGGAUCUUGAGUUCGGGAGAGGUGAGUGGAACUGCGAGUGUAGAGGUGAAAUUCGUAGAUAUUCGCAAGAACACCAGUGGCGAAGGCGGCUCACUGGCCCGAUACUGACGCUGAGGCACGAAAGCGUGGGGAGCAAACAGG
RNAcentral lists this ribosomal RNA (253 nucleotides) under uncultured bacterium. Its description in RNAcentral is "partial 16S ribosomal RNA". It matches the Rfam family "Bacterial small subunit ribosomal RNA", at positions 524 to 776 of the family's 1533-position model. The record is from RNAcentral.